Molecule: ribosomal RNA, 388 nt
Filed under: uncultured bacterium
Lineage: Bacteria
Description: bacterial SSU rRNA
Rfam family: Bacterial small subunit ribosomal RNA
Source: RNAcentral
GAUGAACGCUAGCGGCAGGCUUAAUACAUGCAAGUCGAGCGGUAAGGCUCCUUCGGGAGUACACGAGCGGCGAACGGGUGAGUAACACGUGAGCAAUCUGCCCUUCACUUCGGGAUAACUCCGGGAAACCGGUGCUAAUACCGAAUACGACCACUUCAGGCAUCUGAUGGUGGUGGAAAGUUCCGGCGGUGAAGGAUGAGCUCGCGGCCUAUCAGCUUGUUGGUGAGGUAAUGGCCCACCAAGGCAACGACGGGUAGCCGGCCUGAGAGGGUGACCGGCCACACUGGGACUGAGACACGGCCCAGGCUCCUACGGGAGGCAGCAGUGGGGAAUAUUGGACAAUGGGCGAAAGCCUGAUCCAGCAACGCCGCGUGAGGGAUGACGGCCU